RNAcentral lists this non-coding RNA (28 nucleotides) under Bombyx mori (domestic silkworm). The record is from RNAcentral. Lineage: Eukaryota; Metazoa; Arthropoda; Insecta; Lepidoptera; Bombycidae.
UCCCCUGGGACGGCCCUCACGACUGGAC